AAGCCCCUCGGUCUGCUGAUAAGGUGGGUUCUGCACUACGACUGGUCGAAUUGGCACUCAGUUUAGCGUGGAUGCAAGGAAGAGCUACCUAUUGCCAUUGCUGUUUUGCCUUGUAUUUUAUUUAUGAUUUCUACAAUUUGUUUUGCCUUGUAUUUUAUUUAUGAUUUCUACAAUUUGUUUUGUUUACGUGUACUAUAUCUCGCACACAGACGCGGCUGUCUGGGCUGGCUGAUUGUGGGUGAUCUGUCUUGUUACGCCUGCAUGUCCGUGUGCUUUGA
This is a long non-coding RNA of Alosa alosa (allis shad), 278 nucleotides long. RefSeq lists it as uncharacterized. The transcript is spliced from 3 exons. NCBI's taxonomy places the organism in Eukaryota, Metazoa, Chordata, Actinopteri, Clupeiformes, Clupeidae. The record is from RefSeq and is a predicted model, not a curated record.